AUUGAACGCUGGCGGCAGGCCUAACACAUGCAAGUCGAACGUAACAGGAAGCAGCUUGCUGCUUUGCUGACGAGUGGCGGCCGGGUGAGUAAUGUCUGGGAAACUGCCUGAUGGAGGGGGAUAACUACUGGAAACGGUAGCUAAUACCGCAUAACGUCGCAAGACCAAAGAGGGGGACCUUCGGGCCUCUUGCCAUCGGAUGUGCCCAGAUGGGAUUAGCUAGUAGGUGGGGUAACGGCUCACCUAGGCGACGAUCCCUAGCUGGUCUGAGAGGAUGACCAGCCACACUGGAACUGAGACACGGUCCAGACUCCUACGGGAGGCAGCAGUGGGGAAUAUUGCACAAUGGGCGCAAGCCUGAUGCAGCCAUGCCGCGUGUAUGAAGAAGGCCUUCGGGUUGUAAAGUACUUUCAGCGGGGAGGAAGGGAGUAAAGUUAAUACCUUUGCUCAUUGACGUUACCCGCAGAAGAAGCACCGGCUAACUCCGUG
This 489-nucleotide ribosomal RNA is filed under the name uncultured bacterium. RNAcentral's name for it is "partial 16S ribosomal RNA". It matches the Rfam family "Bacterial small subunit ribosomal RNA", at positions 30 to 507 of the family's 1533-position model. The record is from RNAcentral.